AUGUACAACGCUAGGCCUAUAAGAAGAUGGGUGAAAAAGAAUGUGAUCACCAAGCUCUCGGAGCUCCUAGUCCAUGAAGAAGCCGGUGAAGGCUCAGUGAUCCACAUUGAUGCUAUGGGUGACAAGGAUCUGAAGUAUGAAGUGGUGAAGAAGACGACGGUGAACCCGCAAGAAGAUAAAGAUGUAAACCAUAGGCGGCGGCUAAAGAGACAAAGUGGUUUGCUUAGAAAUGGCAUGAAGCCGAAUAGGCUGUCUAAGAAAAGAGCUAAAAAAAGAGGUCUCGCGAGUUCUGGCAACCAUAAGUACAGUUAA
RNAcentral lists this ribosomal RNA (312 nucleotides) under Triticum aestivum (bread wheat). RNAcentral's name for it is "partial small subunit ribosomal RNA". Lineage: Eukaryota; Viridiplantae; Streptophyta; Magnoliopsida; Poales; Poaceae. The record is from RNAcentral.